Molecule: ribosomal RNA, 444 nt
Filed under: uncultured bacterium
Lineage: Bacteria
Description: bacterial SSU rRNA
Rfam family: Bacterial small subunit ribosomal RNA
Source: RNAcentral
AACGAACGCUGGCGGCAGGCUUAACACAUGCAAGUCGAGCGCUGUAGCAAUACAGAGCGGCAGACGGGUGAGUAACGCGUGGGAAUCUACCCAUCUCUACGGAAUAACUCAGGGAAACUUGUGCUAAUACCGUAUACGCCCUUAGGGGGAAAGAUUUAUCGGAGAUGGAUGAGCCCGCGUUGGAUUAGCUAGUUGGUGGGGUAAAGGCCUACCAAGGCGACGAUCCAUAGCUGGUCUGAGAGGAUGAUCAGCCACAUUGGGACUGAGACACGGCCCAAACUCCUACGGGAGGCAGCAGUGGGGAAUAUUGGACAAUGGGCGCAAGCCUGAUCCAGCCAUGCCGCGUGUGUGAUGAAGGCCUUAGGGUUGUAAAGCACUUUUCACCGGAGAAGAUAAUGACGGUAUCCGGAGAAGAAGCCCCGGCUAACUUCGUGCCAGCAGCCG